UUGCUUCAGCAGCACAUAUACUAAAAUGCUGAAUGAUGCAGUGAAGAUGAAUGUGGCCACUAUGCAAGGAUGACAAGCAAACUCGUGAAGAGAUGCAUAUUUUU
Meleagris gallopavo (turkey) is the source of this 104-nucleotide small nuclear RNA. The record is from Ensembl. Lineage: Eukaryota; Metazoa; Chordata; Aves; Galliformes; Phasianidae.